This 254-nucleotide ribosomal RNA is filed under the name uncultured bacterium. RNAcentral's name for it is "partial 16S ribosomal RNA". It matches the Rfam family "Bacterial small subunit ribosomal RNA", at positions 524 to 776 of the family's 1533-position model. The record is from RNAcentral.
CACGUAGGGUGCGAGCGUUGUCCGGAAUUAUUGGGCGUAAAGAGCUCGUAGGCGGUGUGUCGCGUCGGCCGUGAAAACCUGCAGCUUAACUGUGGGCGUGCGGUCGAUACGGGCAUCACUGGAGUUCGGCAGGGGAGACUGGAAUUCCUGGUGUAGCGGUGGAAUGCGCAGAUAUCAGGAAGAACACCCGUGGCGAAGGCGGCUCUCUGGAACGCAACUGACGCUGAGACGCGAAAGCGUGGGGAGCAAACAGG